AAUAUUUGACAAUGGGCGAAAGCCUGAUCCAGCCAUGCAGUGUGCGUGAAGAAGGUCUUCGGAUUGUAAAGCACUUUAAGUUGGGAGGAAGGGCUUUAGGCGAAUACCCUGAAGUUUCGACGUUACGAACAGAAUAAGCACCGGCUAACUUCGUGCCAGCAGCCGCGGUAAUACGAAGGGUGCAAGCUUUAAUCGGAAUUACUGGGCGUAAAGCGCGCGUAGGUGGUUUGUCAAGUUGGAAGUGAAAGCCCCGGGCUCAACCGGGGGAGUGCUUUCAAAACUGGCAAGCUAGAGUAUGGCAGAGGGUAGUGGAAUUUCCUGUGUAGCGGUGAAAUGCGUAGAUAUAGGAAGGAACAUCAGUGGAGAAGGCGACCACCUGGGCUAAUACUGACACUGAGGUGCGAAAGCGUGGGGAGCAAAC
Molecule: ribosomal RNA, 421 nt
Filed under: uncultured bacterium
Lineage: Bacteria
Description: partial 16S ribosomal RNA
Rfam family: Bacterial small subunit ribosomal RNA
Source: RNAcentral